AUGCACGCUGGCGGCGUGCCUCAUACAUGCAAGUCGCGCGAACAGACGAGGAGCUUGCUCCUCUGACGUUAGCGGCGGACGGGUGAGUAACACGUGGAUAACCUACCUAUAAGACUGGGAUAACUUCGGGAAACCGGAGCUAAUACCGGAUAACAUGUUGAACCGCAUGGUUCAACAGUGAAAGACGGUCUUGCUGUCGCUUAUAGAUGGAUCCGCGCCGCAUUAGCUAGUUGGUAAGGUAACGGCUUACCAAGGCAACGAUGCGUAGCCGACCUGAGAGGGUGAUCGGCCACACUGGAACUGAGACACGGUCCAGACUCCUACGGGAGGCAGCAGUAGGGAAUCUUCCGCAAUGGGCGAAAGCCUGACGGAGCAACGCCGCGUGAGUGAAGAAGGUCUUCGGAUCGUAAAACUCUGUUAUUAGGGAAGAACAAAUGUGUAAGUAACUAUGCACGUCUUGACGGUACCUAAUCAGAAAGCCACGGCUAACUACGUG
This 496-nucleotide ribosomal RNA is filed under the name uncultured bacterium. RNAcentral describes it as "partial 16S ribosomal RNA". It matches the Rfam family "Bacterial small subunit ribosomal RNA", at positions 29 to 507 of the family's 1533-position model. The record is from RNAcentral.